ACUGGGAGGGAAGACAAAGCAUUUGGCUCAGAAGACUUUGGCUUCUGAUAGUCAUGGAUUCACUAGGCUGCUGAGGGAGGGUCAUAACCUGUUGGAACCAUUUUUCGUGAGAACCUGAGCAUGGAGACUGUGAAUUGAGACGAGACCAAGAGAAGUGACAAGACCAGGACCUCCCAAACUCCGGAAGAUGUGUGACCAACCAAAAUGCAACCCAUGCUGCCAGCCCAAACCCCAGUGUUGCAUUCAGCCCAAGUGCUGCGCUCAGCCCAAGUGCUGUGCUCAGCCCAAGUGCUGCACUCAACCCAAGUGCUGCGCUCAGUCCAAGUGCUGCUGUUUGGAGCCUAAGCCCGAGUGCACGUGCCUGAAUAAGGAGGCUGAGCCCGCGUCACCCCAAACACUGAAUGAGAGCUCCCAAACCCAAAAGCAGACUCAAAGUCCAAAACAGGGGCCCAAGCCAGGUACCCGGGUGCAGACAAAGCCAAGCAAGUAGGUUGCCCCAAACAAGAAGAUGGGCCAUGCCAUUACCGGUGGGGUCAGGCUAGACCUACAUUUAGAAAAGCUGUUUCUCAUUGACCACCAUUUACUCCCAACCAGUAGCCCCUAUUUCCCUUCAUAGCCACCUCCGCACCUUAGGGAGGCCCCCAACUGGAAUGGAAGGUUGAAGAGACUAGAAUCAUCUUUCCUGGUGAUCCUGACAUUAGAUAGCACAAAAAUAAAAGAGCAAUAAAAAGAGUG
Molecule: long non-coding RNA, 735 nt
Organism: Equus caballus (horse)
Lineage: Eukaryota; Metazoa; Chordata; Mammalia; Perissodactyla; Equidae
Source: RefSeq, a predicted model, not a curated record